AGGACGAACGCUGGCGGCGUGCUUAACACAUGCAAGUGGAGCGACGAACCAGGGCUUGCCCUGGGGCAGAGCCGCGAACGGGUGAGUAACACGUGGGUUACCUGCCUUGAUGACCGGGACAACCCGAGGAAACUCGGGCUAAUACCGGAUGUGCCCGCAAGGGGAAAGGAAGCUUCGGCCUCCUCAUCAAGAUGGGCCCGCGGCCCAUUAGCUUGUUGGUGAGGUAACGGCUCACCAAGGCUUCGAUGGGUAGCUGGUCUGAGAGGACGAUCAGCCACACUGGGACUGAGACACGGCCCAGACUCCUACGGGAGGCAGCAGUGGGGAAUCUUGCGCAAUGCGCGAAAGCGUGACGCAGCAACGCCGCGUGGGGGAAGAAGGCUUUCGGGUUGUAAACCCCUUUCAGUUGGGACGAAGCUUCUCCGGUGAAUAGCCGGACGGAGUGACGGUACCUUCACAAGAAGCACCGGCUAACUACGUGCCAGCAGCCGCGGU
RNAcentral lists this ribosomal RNA (495 nucleotides) under uncultured bacterium. RNAcentral's name for it is "SSU rRNA". It matches the Rfam family "Bacterial small subunit ribosomal RNA", at positions 26 to 521 of the family's 1533-position model. The record is from RNAcentral.